AGCGAACGCUGGCGGCAGGCUUAACACAUGCAAGUCGAGCGGGCCUUUCGGGGUCAGUGGCGCACGGGUGAGUAACGCGUGGGAACGUGCCCUCUGAUUCGGAAUAACUCAUUUAAACUUGAGCUAAUGCCGGAUAACCUCUUUUGGUGAAAGGUUCGCUGCCGGAGUAUCGGCCCGCGUUGGAUUAGCUAGUUGGUAUGGUAAGGGCCCACCAAGGCGACGAUCGGUAGCUGGUAUGAGAGGAUGAUCAGCCACACUCAGACUGGGACACGGUCCAGACUACUACGGGAGGGAGCAGUGGGGAAUAUUGGACAAUGGGCGCAAGCCUGAUCCAGCUAUGCCGCGUGAGUGAUGAAGUCCUUAGAGUUGUAAAGCUCUUUUAUCCGGGACGAUAAUGACGGUACCGGAAGAAUAAGCACCGGCUAACUUCGUG
Molecule: ribosomal RNA, 433 nt
Filed under: uncultured bacterium
Lineage: Bacteria
Description: partial 16S ribosomal RNA
Rfam family: Bacterial small subunit ribosomal RNA
Source: RNAcentral